RNAcentral lists this ribosomal RNA (917 nucleotides) under Snodgrassella alvi. Its description in RNAcentral is "bacterial SSU rRNA". It matches the Rfam family "Bacterial small subunit ribosomal RNA", at positions 60 to 968 of the family's 1533-position model. The record is from RNAcentral. Lineage: Bacteria; Pseudomonadati; Pseudomonadota; Betaproteobacteria; Neisseriales; Neisseriaceae.
AGUCGAACGGCAGCACGGAGAGCUUGCUCUCUGGUGGCGAGUGGCGAACGGGUGAGUAAUGCAUCGGAACGUACCGAGUAAUGGGGGAUAACUGUCCGAAAGGAUGGCUAAUACCGCAUACGCCCUGAGGGGGAAAGCGGGGGAUCGAAAGACCUCGCGUUAUUUGAGCGGCCGAUGUUGGAUUAGCUAGUUGGUGGGGUAAAGGCCUACCAAGGCGACGAUCCAUAGCGGGUCUGAGAGGAUGAUCCGCCACAUUGGGACUGAGACACGGCCCAAACUCCUACGGGAGGCAGCAGUGGGGAAUUUUGGACAAUGGGGGGAACCCUGAUCCAGCCAUGCCGCGUGUCUGAAGAAGGCCUUCGGGUUGUAAAGGACUUUUGUUAGGGAAGAAAAGCCGGGUGUUAAUACCAUCUGGUGCUGACGGUACCUAAAGAAUAAGCACCGGCUAACUACGUGCCAGCAGCCGCGGUAAUACGUAGGGUGCGAGCGUUAAUCGGAAUUACUGGGCGUAAAGCGAGCGCAGACGGUUAAUUAAGUCAGAUGUGAAAUCCCCGAGCUCAACUUGGGACGUGCAUUUGAAACUGGUUAACUAGAGUGUGUCAGAGGGAGGUAGAAUUCCACGUGUAGCAGUGAAAUGCGUAGAGAUGUGGAGGAAUACCGAUGGCGAAGGCAGCCUCCUGGGAUAACACUGACGUUCAUGCUCGAAAGCGUGGGUAGCAAACAGGAUUAGAUACCCUGGUAGUCCACGCCCUAAACGAUGACAAUUAGCUGUUGGGACACUAGAUGUCUUAGUAGCGAAGCUAACGCGUGAAAUUGUCCGCCUGGGGAGUACGGUCGCAAGAUUAAAACUCAAAGGAAUUGACGGGGACCCGCACAAGCGGUGGAUGAUGUGGAUUAAUUCGAUGCAACGCGAAGAA